CCCUAUGGGGUGCAGCAGGCGCGAAAACUUUACAAUGCGGGAAACCGUGAUAAGGGAACUCCGAGUGUCCGUAAAUUCGGACUGUCCGUAUGUUUAAAAAGCAUACGAAGAAAGGGCCGGGCAAGACCGGUGCCAGCCGCCGCGGUAAUACCGGCGGCUCGAGUGGUGGCCACUAUUACUGGGCUUAAAGCGUUCGUAGCUUGGUUGUUAAGUCUCUUGGGAAAUCUAUCGGCUUAACCGAUAGGCGUCCAGGGGAUACUGGCAAUCUAGGGACCGGGAGAGGUGAGGGGUACUUCAGGGGUAGGAGUGAAAUCCUGUAAUCCUUGGGGGACCACCUGUGGCGAAGGCGCCUCACCAGAACGGCUCCGACAGUGAGGGACGAAAGCUGGGGGAGCAAACCGG
RNAcentral lists this ribosomal RNA (402 nucleotides) under uncultured archaeon. Its description in RNAcentral is "bacterial SSU rRNA". It matches the Rfam family "Archaeal small subunit ribosomal RNA", at positions 321 to 727 of the family's 1478-position model. The record is from RNAcentral.